CCUACGGGAGGCAGCAGUGGGGAAUAUUGGACAAUGGGCGAAAGCCUGAUCCAGCCAUGCCGCGUGUGUGAAGAAGGCCUUCGGGUUGUAAAGCACUUUCAGUGGGGAAGAAAGCCUUGGGGCUAAUACCCUCGAGGAAGGACAUCACCCACAGAAGAAGCACCGGCUAACUCCGUGCCAGCAGCCGCGGUAAUACGGAGGGUGCGAGAGUUAAUCGGAAUUACUGGGCGUAAAGCGCGCGUAGGCGGUCUGAUAAGCCGGUUGUGAAAGCCCCGGGCUCAACCUGGGAACGGCAUCCGGAACUGUCAGGCUAGAGUGCAGGAGAGGAAGGUAGAAUUCCCGGUGUAGCGGUGAAAUGCGUAGAGAUCGGGAGGAAUACCAGUGGCGAAGGCGGCCUUCUGGACUGACACUGACGCUGAGGUGCGAAAGCGUGGGUAGCAAACAGGAUUAGAUACCCGGGUAGUC
RNAcentral lists this ribosomal RNA (465 nucleotides) under Vreelandella stevensii. RNAcentral describes it as "partial 16S ribosomal RNA". It matches the Rfam family "Bacterial small subunit ribosomal RNA", at positions 338 to 795 of the family's 1533-position model. The record is from RNAcentral. Lineage: Bacteria; Pseudomonadati; Pseudomonadota; Gammaproteobacteria; Oceanospirillales; Halomonadaceae.